Molecule: ribosomal RNA, 230 nt
Filed under: uncultured Alicycliphilus sp.
Lineage: Bacteria; Pseudomonadati; Pseudomonadota; Betaproteobacteria; Burkholderiales; Comamonadaceae
Description: partial 16S ribosomal RNA
Rfam family: Bacterial small subunit ribosomal RNA
Source: RNAcentral
AGAGAUGCACUGGGCGUAAAGCGUGCGCAGGCGGUUUUGUAAGACAGAGGUGAAAUCCCCGGGCUCAACCUGGGAACUGCCUUUGUGUCUGCAAGGCUGGAGUGCGGCAGAGGGGGAUGGAAUUCCGCGUGUAGCAGUGAAAUGCGUAGAUAUGCGGAGGAACACCGAUGGCGAAGGCAAUCCCCUGGGCCUGCACUGACGCUCAUGCACGAAAGCGUGGGGAGCAAACA